Molecule: unclassified non-coding RNA, 266 nt
Filed under: Hevea brasiliensis (rubber tree)
Lineage: Eukaryota; Viridiplantae; Streptophyta; Magnoliopsida; Malpighiales; Euphorbiaceae
Source: RNAcentral
CGUGAGUACUCAUCAACCUUAAUAGCUCCAGUACUAUCAAGCUCCACGCCUGCAGUCUCCAAAUUUAACCUCUUUGUAUAGGGUGCCCGACCAGUAGCAAAAAGCACAACAUCUGCCAAGAACUCUUCUCCAUGAUCUGUAGAAACUUUUAUGCCAUCCUCAGUUUUAAUUAACUGCGUCAAAGUUGUCCUGGGGUGCAAAUUUAUUCCCCUGCCCUCCAGAUUUCUUGCAACCACUGCCCUCAUUUCAUCAUCAAAACCUCUUAA